CCUACGGGAGGCAGCAGUGGGGAAUAUUGCACAAUGGGGGAAACCCUGAUGCAGCGACGCCGCGUGAGUGAAGAAGUAUUUCGGUAUGUAAAGCUCUAUCAGCAGGGAAGAAAAUGACGGUACCUGAUUAAGAAGCCCCGGCUAACUACGGGCCAGCAGCCGCGGUAAUACGUAGGGGGCAAGCGUUAUCCGGAUUUACUGGGUGUAAAGGGAGCGUAGACGGCAGGACAAGUUUGGAGUGAAAUGCCGGGGCUUAACCCCGGAACUGCUUUGGAAACUGUGGAGCUGGAGUGCAGGAGAGGUAAGUGGAAUUCCUGGUGUAGCGGUGAAAUGCGUAGAUAUUAGGAGGAACACCGAUGGCGAAGGCAGCUUACUGGACUUUAACUGACGUUGAAGCUCGAAAGCGUGGGGAGCAAACAGGAUUAGAUACCCUUGUAGUC
This 440-nucleotide ribosomal RNA is filed under the name uncultured bacterium. RNAcentral describes it as "partial 16S ribosomal RNA". It matches the Rfam family "Bacterial small subunit ribosomal RNA", at positions 338 to 795 of the family's 1533-position model. The record is from RNAcentral.